Molecule: long non-coding RNA, 1004 nt
Filed under: Callithrix jacchus (white-tufted-ear marmoset)
Lineage: Eukaryota; Metazoa; Chordata; Mammalia; Primates; Cebidae
Description: lncRNA (ENSCJAG00000052521.2)
Source: RNAcentral
CUUAUAUGACAGGCAUGCUACUGUGUUUCCCUGGCUUUUAUCAAAUGCUAUUGGCAAACUCAGAACUUCACAUAAGGAACGUAUUUUUCUCUUUCAAUGACAUUGAGUGAAAAUCUGGUCCAUGAUGGGGCUAUGUGUGCAAGCCUGCUCCGCACACCAGCCUACAGGUUCCCAGAUUCCUCUUCACAACCAGGGUGACUUCCUUGACAUCUAUGCUGGGAGUGCCGUGACAGAGAGCAUGGGGACUUGGAUGCAGAUUUCAUACACGAGGAAUGGGGACUGGUGAGGAUGUUGGCUUCCUGUGACUCUCCAACCUAUGUGUGCCUGUGUGGGGUUACAUUUAAGGGGCUCUUUUCUCCACCCUCUUUAGAAGUCCACUGUGAUUGAUUCCAGCCUGUCACCCCCUUUCCCCUCUCUCUUCCUGCCACAGUGUGACCCGAUCGGGCCCUGGAGUCUCAGUGUACCAGUGGCACCAACCUCACUGCAGUGUCUCGCUGAGGGGAGCAUCUCAUAAGUGCUGAUGUGGAAUCUGAUCCCUGCAUCCCGCAGUAAGCCCUGCCUUUGCUGGCAGCUGGAGGACCAAGUAGGAGCUCAGAGCAUCUUCUCACAAAUGUGGGAUCUGAAACCUUCCUUGGGAGCCCCUCCUCAGCUGGGUAGGAGGAGCCAAUCCAUCCCCACAGCCCUGCUCUGGGUGCGGGAAGAUCCAAAAGUCAAUCACUCCAGCUGAAGUUCCAAUGAACUCCUUUCAUUGGCCAGAGGUCUAGGAGAAGGUGGGGGUUCCUCCCAGGUGAAAAGUCCCCUUCUUCCGCACCCCUUUGGACUCCAUGUUUGGGUCCCCUUCCACCCUCGGGGAAGCCGUCUGUAUCCUGGAUUUCCCCUCCAGAGUCCCCUUCCACACUCUUAGUGGAAGUUUUCUCUCUUCCCCUUUUUUUUUCUCUUUCUCCACCUAAAUAAAUUCACUUUCUGCAAAAACUCUGUUUGGGGUCUGGAAUUUACUUUGGGAA